GUUAUUGUAGCUUAUUUUUAAAGCACGGCACUGAAAAUACCACGAUGGGAAAAUAACAAUUCCCCAAAAACA
RNAcentral lists this transfer RNA (72 nucleotides) under Anolis punctatus (spotted anole). RNAcentral describes it as "tRNA-Phe". It matches the Rfam family "tRNA". Rfam says of the family: Transfer RNA (tRNA) molecules are approximately 80 nucleotides in length. Their secondary structure includes four short double-helical elements and three loops (D, anti-codon, and T loops). The record is from RNAcentral. Lineage: Eukaryota; Metazoa; Chordata; Lepidosauria; Squamata; Anolidae.